CCAAUAGCGUAUAUUAAAGUUGUUGCAGUUAAAAAGCUCGUAGUUGAAUUUCGGGGUUAGUAGGUUAGUCAUGCCUCUGGUAUGUACUGGUCUCACUGAUUCCUCCUUCCUGAUGAGCCGUAAUGCCAUUAAUUUGGUGUUGCGGGGAAUUUGGACUGUUACUUUGAAAAAAUUAGCGUGUUUAAAGCAAGCUAACGCUUGAAUACAUUAGCAUGGGAUAAUGAAAUAGGACGUUCGAUCCUAUUUUGUUGGUUUCUAGGAUUGAAGUAAUGAUUAAUAGGGAUAGUUGGGGGCAUUAGUAUUCAAUUGUCAGAGGGGAAAUUCUUGGAUUUAUUGAAGACUAACUACUGCGAAAGCAUUUGCCAAGGAUGUUUUCAUCAAUCAAGAACGAAAGUUAGGGGAUCGAAGACGAUCAGAUACCGUCGUAGUCUUAACCAUAAACUAUGCCGACUAGGGAUCGGAUGAUGUUAAUUUUUUAAUGACUCAUUCGGCGCCUUACG
RNAcentral lists this ribosomal RNA (500 nucleotides) under uncultured Glomeromycotina. RNAcentral describes it as "partial small subunit ribosomal RNA". It matches the Rfam family "Eukaryotic small subunit ribosomal RNA", at positions 591 to 1092 of the family's 1831-position model. Lineage: Eukaryota; Fungi; Glomeromycota. The record is from RNAcentral.